This 433-nucleotide ribosomal RNA is filed under the name uncultured bacterium. RNAcentral describes it as "partial 16S ribosomal RNA". It matches the Rfam family "Bacterial small subunit ribosomal RNA", at positions 29 to 507 of the family's 1533-position model. The record is from RNAcentral.
AGCGAACGCUGGCGGCAGGCUUAACACAUGCAAGUCGAGCGGGCACUUCGGUGUCAGCGGCAGACGGGUGAGUAACACGUGGGAACGUACCCUUCGGUUCGGAAUAACGCUGGGAAACUAGCGCUAAUACCGGAUACGCCCUUUUGGGGAAAGGUUUACUGCCGAAGGAUCGGCCCGCGUCUGAUUAGCUAGUUGGUGGGGUAAUGGCCUACCAAGGCGACGAUCAGUAGCUGGUCUGAGAGGAUGAUCAGCCACACUGGGACUGAGACACGGCCCAGACUCCUACGGGAGGCAGCAGUGGGGAAUAUUGGACAAUGGGCGCAAGCCUGAUCCAGCCAUGCCGCGUGAGUGAUGAAGGCCUUAGGGUUGUAAAGCUCUUUUGUCCGGCACGAUAAUGACGGUACCGGAAGAAUAAGCCCCGGCUAACUUCGUG